Esox lucius (northern pike) is the source of this 3054-nucleotide long non-coding RNA. The record is from Ensembl. Lineage: Eukaryota; Metazoa; Chordata; Actinopteri; Esociformes; Esocidae.
CCUUAACCAACGGCACAACUCCGGAACAUUUCCAUGCAGUUCAAGCCAGAACAAAUAACUUUUAAAUGUGCUAUCUUAACCAAGGGACCCCCUUGAAGGCAAAGAGAGCAUCACAACACAUCUCACCAGGACAAAAGCUAUUCAACUUUUGAUGGGAAUAUGAGGACGAAACCGGAAAUCACGCGAGGAGAGCGAGACAACUUUUAAAAUGUUGUUCCAGUAAAUGUGCAUGACAUUAUCAGCUCUGCAUGGACCGUCGGUAUGUAUUUCUUGAGGUAAUCCAGGUUCAGUUGGAACUUUGCAUGGUGAGGAAAGCACCAAUCCUGUGGAUACAGCCUACUCCAUUGACUUUAGAUUGAAUCAGGACAGGAAGUGCUGCUACAUUUAAAAGAUUUUUCGAAUUUACCCCGGGAUUACUCCGUUGGGUUGAACAAAUUGAUGCAGACCAAUGCAAUCCGAAGAAUUGGGAAAUUAAGCUAAACUGGUCCGAAAAUGUCUAAGCAACUUGCUUGUCAGAACUGUGACGUGAAGUUUAACACCAUUCGCAGCUUGAAGCUACAUGUCAGCGGAAUAAAACAUCGAAAGAAAGUGGCAGAGCUGUUCCAGUCAGAUGAGUACCAUGGCCGAGUCUACGUCCCAUUCAUCUUGGUUCUGGGACAUUUGACCAAACAACCCAUGAGCACCCCACAGCCUAUUGUUGGUCUGUGCCUGGUCACAAUUUGUUUGAGUUCAGAGAGGAGUGAUGCGUUCUACCUGUGUCAUGUGUGUGAGGAGAACUGUGGCCAAGGAAAUAUCAUAGACCAUCUGACUUCUGCCGACCAUCUCUCCAACUACUACAACUACACAGACCCGGAUUUGUUGAGUUUCUCCUGGUUGACUGGCUCGAACAAUUCGAAUCAUCUACAGGUGCUCGCUGCCAAAGAUCUGGACCGGAAUGGACCCGGGGUGCUGCGGAUGCUGGACAUGCCUAAGAGUAUGGUUUUGGAUUUGAAGAAGAUUGGCUACUCUAAAGUGAUGCAGGCUCUAACUCAGUCUGAGAGGCUGGAGAAGUGCGUCAGAGCUGGUAGACCGGAGAGGAGGACAAUACAAGAUUACCACAGAGACUCCAGAAGGAAGCAUCCUCUGCUGGGUUUACAGCACCUGGUGGAGUACUGCUGUGAGGGGUGUGACCAGAAGAAAUCCUACCUGUGCCAACUGUGUCAACUCUACAUCCCAUUACAUAGAGUCAUCAAACACACACUGAGCUUUGACCAUAUCUACUGGUACUUUAAAGCGUGGCAUCCCUCCACCCUCCUGACGAAGGACUGUUAUAAGGCCUACAGCGACCGGUUCAAGUCCAUCAUGCUGGACCUGGCCAAUCAGGCACAAGACAUCAGCCGGUCCGCCAAUAACGAGAUACAGCGUGUUGUGUUGGAACCAGAAGUGUUCGCCUCCGUGCCGUCUGUCUAUAGAGAAGCCCUGAGGAAGUUGGAGACCAUUAGAGAGGAGCGUAAUGAGGGCUGUUUGAAGACCAGCGUGACUCCUGGAGACAAAUUGGUUCCUUUUUUAAACAGGUCAAAGGUUAUCAAAGAUACCACAAGAACUGUUGCCGAGGCUGUUGAUUUGGAGGAAGAGUUGAGCCCAGAGAUGUCCUCCAUUCCUCGAGCUGUUGAAAAGCCUAGAGAAGCUACAGCUGCUCCAGGUUUGACCGCAGCUAGUGGCCAAAAAGGUGUUUGCCGUUUGCUCUGUCAGAAUUGCAACGAGGUAUAUGCUUUGGUGUCGCUCUUCAAGUUACAUGUACGCAGCUGGAAACAUCAGAUGAUGCUGGGUGACGGGCCAGGCCACCUACCAUCCUUUACUUUGUACGAGUACAUGCGGAACCCAGGGCGAACUGAACCAAUUAUUGGUGUCCAUCUGAUCUCGACGUGUCUGAAUUCAGAGUGUGUGGACAUACCGGUGUGCCUGUGUCACAUCUGUCAUGAGUGUUUCACGGCAAUUUCUAUCUUGUCUCACCUCACCUCUGCUUCCCACCUCCAACAGACCCUGAUGUACCAGAGUCCAGAGCGUCUGCCGUUUGGCUGGAAACCAGAAAUUGACCGGAAGGUCUUGAACACCCUGGCCUGGGAAGAGGAGACCGACAGAGGAGAGAAGGACAUGAUCCUGAAGGUGUUCUUUUGUCCUGACAUUGUUUUCUCCAACAUUAAGACAUUGCACUACCUCACUGCCAUUAAGUGUCUCAAAGACUUUCAUGGUUAUUAUUUUGUUGACAAACCACUGACAAUUUGGACCCAUCUGAAAAACACAAAAAGGACAUUUCCUCUGCUGGGUUUGCAGUUCCUGGUUCAAUACAGCAUUACAAGGCCCAGGGACUCGUUUCCAAGAUGGGGGUACCUGUGUCUUCUGUGUGAGGAGAAGUUGUCAGACAGGCUCAGCGUGGCUCACAUGCACAGCAACACUCAUGUCACUAUGUUCCUGAAACGUGCACAUCCCGGUUCUCUGGAAGAGGUGAAGUGGCAUGAUGAAAGGAGGAGUGAAGUAUUGCUCGACCUGGCACAACAGGCUGAGACAAUACACACUCCCAGCCGUGUACAGGUCAUAAAAUUGGAACGCUGCAUUGCUGAAUCAGUCAUGUACACAAAAGCCCUGGCGAUCCUGAAGUCAGUCAAUAAGAGAGGAUUCAGACUGCAGAUUCCUCUGCUACCACGUGGGAAAAAACUGGUGCCCUUCGGGGGAAUACAAGACCAAAGCCGGACCACAGAACCUGUUCCUGUACGUCUGUAUGUUGGAGAGGAUAAUGAGACCAGGAACAAAAAUGACAAUGAGAUAAAGAACUACAAAGAGACCACCCCAGAUACUGUAAACAUGACUCACAAGACUGGGAUGGAGGUGGAAAAACAAAUUGGCAAAAAACCCUGCACUGACUCCGGUAGAAAGACUGGAGAAGAACCCUGCUGUGGGCCCGGUCCAAAGGCGGGCAAGGAACCCUGCAGCGGCCCCGGGGCAAAGACGGGCAAAGAACCCUGCAGCGGCCCCGGGGCAAAGACGGGCAAAGAACCCUGCAGCGGCCCCGGGGCA